This 371-nucleotide ribosomal RNA is filed under the name uncultured bacterium. RNAcentral describes it as "bacterial SSU rRNA". It matches the Rfam family "Bacterial small subunit ribosomal RNA", at positions 524 to 898 of the family's 1533-position model. The record is from RNAcentral.
UACGUAGGGGGCGAGCGUUGUCCGGAUUUAUUGGGCGUAAAGGGUACGCAGGCGGCCAUGUAAGUCAGAUGUGAAAGGUCACGGCUCAACCGUGGUAAGCAUUUGAAACUGUGUGGCUUGAGUUAAGGAGAGGAAAGUGGAAUUCCUGGUGUAGCGGUGAAAUGCGUAGAUAUCAGGAGGAAUAUCAGUGGCGAAGGCGACUUUCUGGACUUAUACUGACGCUGAGGUACGAAAGCGUGGGGAGCAAACAGGAUUAGAUACCCUGGUAGUCCACGCCGUAAACGAUGAGUGCUAGGUGUCGGGGGUCAAACCUCGGUGCCGCAGUUAACACAUUAAGCACUCCGCCUGGGGAGUACGUACGCAAGUAUGAA